UCUAAUAUGACAGAUUAAUGUAAUGAAUUUAAACUUCAUAAAUAAAGACUUUCUUUUGUUAGAA
RNAcentral lists this transfer RNA (64 nucleotides) under Phthiridium szechuanum. RNAcentral's name for it is "tRNA-Leu". The record is from RNAcentral. Lineage: Eukaryota; Metazoa; Arthropoda; Insecta; Diptera; Nycteribiidae.